RNA transcript from Lolium rigidum, 3123 nucleotides. RefSeq lists it as uncharacterized. Lineage: Eukaryota; Viridiplantae; Streptophyta; Magnoliopsida; Poales; Poaceae. The record is from RefSeq and is a predicted model, not a curated record. The transcript is spliced from 8 exons.
UCGGUACAGUGCGCCGCCUGGCAAGGCCAUCGCCCCUCCUCGUUCUCCUCAUCUUCAACAGUAGAACGGUGGGCAGGCGGCAAGGAAUGGUCUCGGCACAGCCAGAUUCACCUCCAGCAUUCAGUUAAGUAGUGUACAGCUGUGUGUUUUACAAUUCACUAAGGAAGCUAAAUCGGUGACAGUUUGGUCUGUGAAUUCUGUUUGCUUAGACGAGGACAUUGACCAGCAUUAGUGAUCCUCCAAGAUCCAUUCGUGCAACUGAUUUGCUUCUCUCCCAACAAAGCUUCCUGGUUUAUUUCUUUGGUAAACGGCGAGGCCACGGGCAGGUGAUUCUGAAAACAGUGAACUCUAAUGUUCCUCCAUGAAUGGAUCUUAGCUAAUGCCUUCGUUGACAUUGGUAGUACUGAAGAGAAGGAGGAUGGCAUAUCUCGAUUUGUGUACACCACCUGGGUUCAUGUGCACAGCUGGUUUCCAAUGCUUGAAUAAAUGUAUGGCAGGAUGCAGUACAUACCACCGUCUGCCUUUCAGCAAUGGAAUAUUGGGUGCACGAGAUGCUCCACAACCUGCACUUAAUAAGUUGAUCCUUCAUGUCCAUCGUGCUAUCCUUGCAAGGUUAAAUGUAGAGCUUCCAGCCAAGCACAUUAUGCCGAAAACGAUUGAAGUUUAUUCUCGCGGCUUCCUGCCGGCGGCUGCGGGUGGGUGAGCACAGCCUUAGCUAAAGCACAACAAUGGCUAUCGAGUGACCAGCAAAAAGUAUGAGCUCGUGUUAUCGUGGUAGCACAUUGUCGUCGCUCCAGGCAAACCCCCAGUGCUAUCCACAUGUGGGCUGGCUGAACCGGAGCCUGAAGCACGCUGCAGGGUAGCAACAAACAUUGUUGUUCAUGUCAUAUAUUGCUGCUGCAGGUAUGCUCAUCCCCCACUCUUUUCUUUUCCCCUAUCUUCUGUACUAUAUUGACUUUGUCCUGACUUCCAGGUCUUCUACAGGUUACAGCUAAUAUCUUCCUUUUCUCAUCAGUGAGCACCCAGGAAUGCUGGGGAUAGAACGAUUUAUGCAUUUUUAAAUUUAUGCCUAUGUACUGCCUCAUGAUGUUUUUGCGUGCUUGAUGAUCUGCCUGUGGUGUUGAAAAUAAUUAGCAACCAAAAACUGGGGUUUCUGCACCAAUAGUAGUAAUUUGGUUACAAAGUUAAGCUAGCUUGUUGAAAAUAAUUCUGACAACACCCUGUUCCUGAAUUAGAUUUUCUGUAGAUGUUUAUUUGCCGCUUUGCUGGUAUUGUAUUUGUGCCAACAUGAUAUAUAAUCUGAAUGCUUGAUAGUUUUCCUUGUACAGAUCUAUGCUUUGUUCUAUGCUUUUAUGUUGUUUGACAUAUUUUUUAAUUUGUCAUGUUCAUGGUUUUUAAGACGUCUGCUUUGGGACACUUAGCUGAUGAGGCGCCCCUCACAGCGCCUUCCAAAUUUGUCCGCUUUCGGCGCUUAGGCGCCUGCUUAGGCUCCAGAGUGUGGGGUAGAACAUUUUAGGACCCCUUACUGCCUUUAAAAAGCAUGGUCAUAUUUUAGAAAUAUUAGAGCUCAGCUAGAAUAAGGUAUGAAGAGCUUGAUGAAAUUUAUCCGCGGUUGGUGAAUAGGUCUAAUGGUUUUUAGCUUUGCCUACAAAUCUUGAAUGCAUGAUUGAAAUAAUUUUUCUGAAUAGCUUAGGUAUCCAAAUAGUAAGACAAUACUGUAGUUGGCUGAUGCAAAGCUACAUAGCGAAAAAGACUGCUUAGUUGAUUGAUUACAUCGCCGCAAGUUUUCUGUUGAUCUAACCAAUGAAUGGACAUGCUUGAUAUCCCUAAAACAAAUUAACAAAAACUAAACUGCCAUUUAGUGGAAGGCCUUCUUUGUCGCGGCGGGCGAGCGCAUUCUGUGUCACUCCACCAGUCCACCUGUAUGUUCUCUGUUCAUUUUUUUGCAAUUUGUAGAGCAUUCAAUAGAACUGUCAAAAGAGUGCCAGUUUAGUAUAUGUUGAUUUCUGGGCCAUCAUAUUACAACGUUAAUUCAGCUGUGAAUUUAUAAUGGAAUGAGACACUUUGAAAAGGUGGGUGUGGCCUUCGACACGGCGUGCGAGCGCCUUCUCUUGAUGUCAUUGUGGUGGGGGUUUUGAUAAGUCUGUGCUCAGCGUCGUAUAUAUUCUUGUUAUGGGGCUAGAUCCUUGGCAUAUACAUCAGUUUUAUGUCUUGCUUGCGUUGUAUAUAUUUUGGUCUGGUGCUAGAUCUUUGGCCGUGAGGUCCUAUUGAUCUGUUAGUUCUAGGAAAUAAAUGAAUACAAAUGUGUGGAUUUUAUCUAUUCACGUGGUGUUUUCAGAUUUGAGCUUGCAACUGAAUCUAAAGAUUUCUUUUGUGGAUGGGUAAAACAGAAAGUCUGAAACUACAUAAUAUAAGUAUCGAUGCCACUGUUUGCAGGUUCGGUGUGCCUUGGGUUGAAUCUCGGUUGAUUUUUAUGCAGAAGAUUGUGGUCGAGCUGGUACCUCUCCCUCCCCAUGUAGAAGCAGCCUAUGAGCUCCAAUGUCACAACUUGAAAGACAGGAAUAAUAGUUCAGAACUUCAGAUAAAAGAUGGGCACAAUAAUUAUAUAUGUAUAAAACAUGGCAACCAUAAUUCUAUGGAGGAAAGUUGGCAAUAACGAUGUGUUGACUUCGGGAGUUCAAGAUGAUAUCUACGGCCAAAAUUACAUGAAUUAUGAAUCAGUGUAAUUAGAUAGAACAAAAAUUAUACCCCUCUUGUUUAAAAUGUGUAAAAACAUGAUGUUUUGUCCUCUUGUUUCUUUUUGAUGCAAUCCAAAUGCCUUAGGUGAAGUACCAGUUAUGCAGCAACCCUAACAAGUGAGAAUCUCUAUGCCAUUUCAUUUGUUCCCUUUUUACUGAUAUGCAUCUCAAUCUUUUUAAUGCUGUUAAUUCCACGUGGAAGGCAUUGUACUCAUCAUUAGCUCCCAUGCGUUCCACUGCAGACAUUAUUUCUUCAGUCCUAGAGUGCAUCAGACCAGAUGGACUUCGUUCCACUGCACAGUUUUGAGCUUGACAACCUUUAGGCAUUGAUUUCGUUUGGAACAGUAUGGUGUGCAGAAUGGCGGGAGGAAAGGUUGGCCCGGCG